GAUGAACGCUGGCGGCGUGCCUAAUACAUGCCAGUCGAGCGAACGGACGAGAAGCUUGCUUCUCUGAUGUUAGCGGCGGACGGGUGAGUAACACGUGGAUAACCUACCUAUAAGACUGGGAUAACUUCGGGAAACCGGAGCUAAUACCGGAUGAUAUUUUGAACCGCAUGGUUCAAAGGUGAAAGACGGUCUUGCUGUCACUUAUAGAUGGAUCCGCGCUGCAUUAGCUAGUUGGUAAGGUAACGGCUUACCAAGGCAACGAUGCAUAGCCGACCUGAGAGGGUGAUCGGCCACACUGGAACUGAGACACGGUCCAGACUCCUACGGGAGGUAGCAGUAGGGAAUCUUCCGCAAUGGGCGAAAGCCUGACGGAGCAACGCCGCGUGAGUGAUGAAGGUCUUCGGAUCGUAAAACUCUGUUAUUAGGGAAGAACAUAUGUGUAAGUAACUGUGCACAUCUUGACGGUACCUAAUCAGAAAGCCACGGCUAACUACGUG
This 497-nucleotide ribosomal RNA is filed under the name uncultured bacterium. RNAcentral describes it as "partial 16S ribosomal RNA". It matches the Rfam family "Bacterial small subunit ribosomal RNA", at positions 28 to 507 of the family's 1533-position model. The record is from RNAcentral.